ACCUAUUUAUAAACCAAUCAAUGGUUAGAGUAUUGCUUUCAUACGGCAAGAAUCAUUGGUUCAAAUCCAAUAGUAGGUA
This 79-nucleotide transfer RNA is filed under the name Yoania japonica. RNAcentral's name for it is "tRNA-Met". The stretch from base 13 to 79 matches the Rfam family "tRNA". Rfam says of the family: Transfer RNA (tRNA) molecules are approximately 80 nucleotides in length. The record is from RNAcentral. Lineage: Eukaryota; Viridiplantae; Streptophyta; Magnoliopsida; Asparagales; Orchidaceae.